This 774-nucleotide long non-coding RNA is filed under the name Gallus gallus (chicken). RNAcentral's name for it is "long non-coding RNA NONGGAT004943". The record is from RNAcentral. Lineage: Eukaryota; Metazoa; Chordata; Aves; Galliformes; Phasianidae.
GAGCUCAGCGAGAAGCAGAAGGCAGAGCUGGAGCAGAGCCUGCACCGUGUGAAAAGCCAGGAGCGUGAGCUGGGUGUGCUCAGGGGGAAACUGUCGGGGAUGUCAGACCUCGUGGCGAAGAAGGAUCGAGAGCUGCAAGCAGCAGCUGCAGAGUUAAGGAAAGUCCAAGAAGACUGCAGAGCCCUCAAGGAUGCAUCUCGACGAAUGGCAGAAGAGCUGGAGAUGCUUCCGCAGGCACAGGCUAUUUCUGCCACACCAGAGGAAUCUUCUGAGCAGAGAACUGAAUAAAUCAAAGGUGGUUCCAGCAGCAGAUGGAGGGACUGCAGAAAUGGUACAGCCUGUACCGCAACAGCGGCAGACGUGGUGCCAGCUGGAAGGGUUCGUGUUGGCCAAGCGGUGACUCAUGGCUAGAUGGGAGCAGGAGGCAUCGCCUUCCUCCUUCUCAGCAAGAGGUGGUGAGAAACACGAAGCUAGAAAUCCUCCAGAGGAGAAUAAAUUGCCACUGCAGCGUGAAGAUGGAGCUGGCAUUGGAUCUGGCCAACCUGGGUGUGAGAUGCAGAGGCCUCAGGCAUGAGGAGACAAUCCAACGGCAAAAAGAAGGCUUGGCAGAGCUCAGGGAGAGGAUCAAGGUGCUGGAGAAGACACAGGCCUCUGCUGUACUGGGCAGGGCCAGCGAGCUGCUCAUGGUACAGAAGGCAGCCCUACCAGAGAAGGUUGCCCAGAAAGCAGGACUCCAGGUGGAACCAGCUCCACUGCCAGGUGCAGAAUUCAAGU